AUUGAACGCUGGCGGAAUGCUUUACACAUGCAAGUCGAACGGCAGCACGGACUUCGGUCUGGUGGCGAGUGGCGAACGGGUGAGUAACAUAUCGGAACGUAUCCAAUAAUGGGGGAUAACGAGUCGAAAGAUUCGCUAAUACCGCAUACGCCCUACGGGGGAAAGCUGGGGACCUUCGGGCCUGGCGUUAAUGGAGCGGCCGAUAUCUGAUUAGCUAGUUGGUGAGGUAAAGGCUCACCAAGGCGACGAUCAGUAGCUGGUCUGAGAGGACGACCAGCCACACUGGAACUGAGACACGGUCCAGAAUCCGACGGGAGGCAGCAGUGUGGAAUUUUGGACAAUGGGCGCAAGCCUGAUCCAGCCAUUCCGCGUGAGUGAAGAAGGCCUUCGGGUUGUAAAGCUCUUUCGCAAGGGAAGAAAACUUAGCCACUAACAUUGGUUGAGGUUGACGGUACCUUGAUAAGAAGCACCGGCUAACUACGUGCCAGCAGCCGCCGUAA
Molecule: ribosomal RNA, 500 nt
Filed under: uncultured bacterium
Lineage: Bacteria
Description: partial 16S ribosomal RNA
Rfam family: Bacterial small subunit ribosomal RNA
Source: RNAcentral